This 288-nucleotide unclassified non-coding RNA is filed under the name Hevea brasiliensis (rubber tree). Lineage: Eukaryota; Viridiplantae; Streptophyta; Magnoliopsida; Malpighiales; Euphorbiaceae. The record is from RNAcentral.
ACAAAAAAUGGCGUCUUCAUUGGAGGGAGAAAAUGCUGGGAUCUCUAAAUCUUUACAUGUUACGGAGGAUGAUGAUACAAAGGAUGACAGUUCAAUGUUAGAUGGUUCAAGUUCCAAGGCAAAAAGUGCCCGUGAUGUAGUGACUCCCCUUGCUCAUAUGCCUUAUGAAGACCAGUUGGAGCACAAGAAGAACUCUAUUAUGCAAAUGCUAAAAAAACUUACUAGAAAUGCUCGUAAAGCAUGUCCAAAUGGUGUUUCUUUGCCAGAAUGGAUUCUCAAGUCUAGGGA